UACGAUCUUCGGGGUAGGGUGCAAGUCCCAACCGGCGGUAUAGUCCGCGACCCGCAGCGAUGCGGUGGAAUCGGUGACUUUCUUAAACAGAAAGAAUUCCGAUACCGACAGUAUAGUCUGGAUGAGAGAAGAUAGUG
Molecule: non-coding RNA, 137 nt
Filed under: Mediterraneibacter torques
Lineage: Bacteria; Bacillati; Bacillota; Clostridia; Lachnospirales; Lachnospiraceae
Also listed under: 1 other name
Description: Ruminococcus torques FMN sequence
Rfam family: FMN riboswitch aptamer (RFN element)
About the family: The RFN element is a highly conserved domain that is found frequently in the 5'-untranslated regions of prokaryotic mRNAs that encode for flavin mononucleotide (FMN) biosynthesis and transport proteins.
Source: RNAcentral